CUGAAUCUAAUUAUAACCGUAAAAAUAAUCUGCUUCUUCCUCGUACUCAUCUGUAACUCCGCCGCCGCCGGCGACGACGCCACCACCUCCAUACCACCCCAAAAAUACACCAUGUAUUCCCCUACUUCCCCUCAUUCCAAAUCCAAGAUUAGUUUCUUUUGAAUCCUACUAGAACUCAUCAAAUCUUCUUCUAAAGUUUUCCGGCCAUGACGCAAAGUAGUCCAAAUCUCUCCAAAUUAACACCAUAGACUCUUCACACCACCCUCAUCAUAAAACACCAAUUGGGUUUCUUCGAAUCAUCCUCAGGCGCUUCGAAUUUUAAAGCAAAGUUGGCCGGAAACCUUAAAACCGGCCAAAUUGGUACUGCGUGGUCGUUCCUUCCCCCUUUCGUCUGAAUUAUGUUUCAAGCACCACCAGACUCCGCCAAUAGUGAAUCCAAAAGGCUUAAGUCAAGAUUGGGCAUGCUAAGGUUUCCAUCCUUGUUGGAAUUCAGGUUCUUAAUUGUGAGUUCUCUCCAUCCGUCGUUCAUUUUUUUUACUGUCAUUUUCCAUCUCUGUCUUCUUUGCCUCUUGAUAAGUUUCGUCGUGUUUAAACUUGUUUUAUUUGGAUUAUUUUUGUAUAUAUGUGUGUGUUAGUAGAUUAAUAGUUUAGCCUAGAUUUCUCCUUAGUUUUGCAUUUGUAUCUGUUUUUUCUCAGCUUUACAGUUUGUUUUGUUAAAUACUGGUAGUAAUUUGGUGAAACGACGGAUUCUUGCUCAUGUUUAGUGAUUUUGUUCGUUUUGUGAUUAUUAAGUCUAACUAGUUUAUUGGGGAUUAGUUCUUAAUUUGAUAGUGUAGUUUAGUUUAAGUAUAAUGUAAGCAGUCAAAUUGUUUGGUUGAUUGUUGUUUGUUAAAGCUAAAGUUCAUCUCUCAAAGCCUAGAGAAGGGUUUAGGAAUAGCUGUAUUAGACAAGUAAUUUUAAGGGCAAUUAGGGAAAUUCAGGGGUGUGGAAUUUAGCUCGAGUAUCCUAGAAUCUUCUAGAUAGGGGUAUACUUAGAAUUUGAGGAAGUUUAAGGCACUAACUUGUGUAACAAGUCUAAAGAAUGAGGGAUUAAACUGAAAGUGCACGGGGACAAUAAGGAAAACUGAAAAUUCUGUGCUCACUUCUUGGUUGCCUAUAAAAGGCAUCACAAAUGCCUUGUUGAGGGUCUUCCUUUCAGCUAGCUAGUUCCCCAAAAUCUCCCUCUAAUUUCGAGAUCUGUUUUUUUGAAAUUCGAACAUUCAAACCCCCCCCCCCCCAAAACAAUAGAAAAUCAUUAGAAAACAAAAAAAAAGUUUAGGAUUACUGUUCCAUUGAAAUUGGAGAUGGAUUUCAGCUUUUGGUUGUGACUUGCAUUUUGUAGUUGCUAUCUUUGUUUGUUGAAGCUUAGAGGUCCAUUUCGAGUGUAUUUGAAUCAAAUUAAGUGGGGUUUUUGGCUGAGUUUUGCAUCAGUGAAGUUCCAGAAGGAUUUUCAGUUCAGUUUUGAAUUAUUUUGGUCGAUUUCGAGUUGACAUUGGUAUUUCGAAUCUAGUUUGGGUGUUUGCUUGUUGUUUAUGCAUCAGUGUUCAUUUCUGGGUUGACUUGUUGCUGUGUUGGAGUGAAUUUGUUAGCUUUUGUUUGGUUUAAACAUUCCCGGGCUGUUUGAUUUUAUUGUUGGGCUAUUUGUGAUUAAUUGCUGAUUGACGUUGACCUCUUCUUCUCCUUCAUUGCUUUCUACUUCCAGGUACCUCCCUUGAUCUCAUGUAAGCUGUGAUGGAUCUUUGUAAUUCAAUUUGAAGGAUAAAUGAAGUUGAAGUGGAUCGUUGAAUUCACUUUACUGUGUUUGAUUUUAACGUGUUAGAACAGUCAUGUGUAAUUGACAAUUAGUGUUUUUUUUGUAAUAAUUGGACUCUAUGACUAUUAAUUUCAGAUUCAUAUGAUGUUGGUUCUCGUGUUAAUGAUUAAUAUUAGUUGUCAUGACAGCUUUUAAGCAUUGAUUUGUUUUCAAUAAUUG
RNAcentral lists this long non-coding RNA (2011 nucleotides) under Nicotiana tabacum (common tobacco). Its description in RNAcentral is "long non-coding RNA (NTAB_LNC005697)". Lineage: Eukaryota; Viridiplantae; Streptophyta; Magnoliopsida; Solanales; Solanaceae. The record is from RNAcentral.